UACGGAGGAUCCAAGCGUUAUCCGGAUUUAUUGGGCUUAAAGGGUGCGUAGGCGGGUUAUUAAGUCAGUGGUGAAAGCCUGCAGCUUAACUGCAGAAUUGCCAUUGAUACUGAUGAUCUUGAGUACAGUUGAGGUGGGCGGAAUGUGUCAUGUAGCGGUGAAAUGCUUAGAUAUGACACAGAACACCGAUUGCGAAGGCAGCUCGCUAAGCUGUAACUGACGCUGAGGCACGAAAGCGUGGGGAUCAAACAGG
RNAcentral lists this ribosomal RNA (253 nucleotides) under uncultured bacterium. RNAcentral's name for it is "partial 16S ribosomal RNA". It matches the Rfam family "Bacterial small subunit ribosomal RNA", at positions 524 to 776 of the family's 1533-position model. The record is from RNAcentral.